This 1818-nucleotide long non-coding RNA is filed under the name Triticum aestivum (bread wheat). RNAcentral describes it as "long non-coding RNA (TAES_LNC024030)". The record is from RNAcentral. Lineage: Eukaryota; Viridiplantae; Streptophyta; Magnoliopsida; Poales; Poaceae.
CUCGCCGCCCCGUGGCAACUCAACCCCCCAAAUGGAUGCCGCUCAACUAUCUCAUCCAAUAGGACGCCGGCCACGACGUCACGAAGUUGCUGACGUCGCCAAGAAACGGCUGCCUCCGUUGCCGCCCUUCAGCGGCCACCUCGCUGCCGCUCCAAUGCCCACCAUGAGGCAUUGCGGAGGAAGGUGAGCAAGUAGCAGCACUUCGAGGAAGCCAUCAUCAACCUCGCCGCCGCGCUCCACGACCGCUAUGAAGGCGCCUCACCCGCCCUCCGCUAGUCGGUAAGGCCGACCUCACCUCACCUUCCCCAUCCCUACGAGCAUACCUGUCAUGGGACUGGGAACUAUGCGCGAGAGAUUGUUAGAUUGGUCAUAGAAGCGGGAGGUUGAUGCUCGGUAUGGGUCUAGGAGAGGAUUUGGGGAUGGAAAAUUUGUCUGAAUAUUUUUAUUCCUCUGAAGUUUUGUGAGCUCCAAGCCCAUCGCAUUGGCAUCUAUAUUCUGCAUCUCUGGAAGAUAUAUGUGACAUGUUGGCUGCCUUUCCCCCUCUUUGCAAUUAAAUGUUUUAGUCUUUAUUCCCCUAGUUUUAGGCUAUAAUCCCCUGAUUAGUACUCAUAUAUGGAGUACUUACACAGAGUUGGGGCCGGGCACUAGAUCUUGUACUCUGAAAUUAAUAAUACAUCUUGUGCAGCACUGAUAGUACUACGAGAUUAUUAGUACUCUGAUUAGUAUUGAUAUAUGCAGCAGUGAUGCAAAAUUGGGGCCCACAAAUCUUGUACUCUGAUUAGUACUGAUUUUUUAAAAGUUUAUAUACUCUGAAAUUCAUGGUAUACCACGUAAAGUUCUCAAGGCGCUUGUGCGUACACUCUGCGAACACUGAACAUACAAAGUGCACAAGGCUAAUGUAUUUCCCUCCAUUUCUAUAUGAAUAAAUCCUAGAUCGUUACAAUAACAGGUCAACCUUCUUUUCACUUCAUGCCACUAUAAGGUUGGUUUGCUGCUGAUGCUCCUUACACCCAUGUCAUUGUAGAUGGCUGUGGAAAGCUGGAAAUUUGCCUGUCCUAUCAAGAUGAGAAUCAACAACAUAAAGUUCUAGAAGGAUUCAAGGACAGGAAAGAUAUCUCCUUUUAUUAUCCAAUUGAUUGAAGAAGUUGGCUUCUCGCCGGCAUAUGAUUUCUUGUACUACAGGAAGAAAUACCCACGUGGCAGAGGCUAUUCUGACAUUGCUUCUGACCAUGAAAUAUGAUUUCUUGUACUACAGGAAGAAAUACCCGCGUGGCAGAGGCUAUUCUGACAUUUCUUCUGACCAUGAAAUAUGAUUUCUUAUACUACAUGACGAAAUACCCGCGUGGCAGAGGCUAUUCUGACAUUGCUUCUGACCAUGAAAUAUUUUGUGUUCAGUUUUCCUGUGAAAGUUAGCAUAGGAAUACAUAAUGUUUCUUCAGAAUGACAGAGCACCAAAUCGAGGUGGUAGGUUGCCAUCAAAUUCCACGGAAUAAAACUGACUUGUGGAUGUGAUUAGUCUCUUACCAGAGUGCAAGUUUAUUCUUUGAUGAAAAAGGUCAGCGUUUGGGAUGCACUGCAUAGCAAGGAUAUGAUGUAGGUUGUAUAGCUAUUCUGUGGACUGACGUGAGGUUGGGGUGCUCGUGCUUGCUUGGUCGGAAGCUUUUCUUUUGACUCGAUUGAUGAAUGAUGAGCACGAGGGCAUCUCUGCACUAGUUACGCCGUAUAUGUACUCCACUACAUAUAGAUAGCUCGCUCAUCGUGUCUUGACAGAAGAAGAACAACUUUGAUCGAUGGAGAUGGAUAUGUUUCUUGUUGGUG